GGCUGAGCCAGUGCACGGAGCGAGAUACUGAGCCUGCAGGCUCAGCUUCACUGCUGACUCCUCUACCUCAUGCUCCUUCAGAAGCCCAGGGGGAUGGGGAAUGGAUGUUGAGCCUGCAUCCUUCAGGGUAAACUGCUCCAGUGUGGACUCCCCUCCCUGGGCCACAGGUCCUCCUGGAAGCCUGCUCCAGCCUGGGCUCCUCACAGGCUUCAGCUUCCAUCAGGACACAUCU
Long non-coding RNA from Melospiza melodia melodia, 232 nucleotides. RefSeq lists it as uncharacterized. The transcript has 3 exons. The record is from RefSeq and is a predicted model, not a curated record. Lineage: Eukaryota; Metazoa; Chordata; Aves; Passeriformes; Passerellidae.